AAAUAAGUUGUACUUAAAAUGGAAAACAACCUUGUUGAUCUUUGAAUAUCUGUGGUGGAGAGUAGCUCUAGUUGGUUUUCGCUCUUGAGAGCCAUCUCCCACCCACCCCCACCCCCGUCAGUAGGGUUGGGCUGUGCUCUCAGCCACUCACUGGCUUUUGUGUCUUGCACAAGCUCUGCCAUGCACCAAACAGGCUUGGCGGUUUCCUCUGGGUUUUCCAGAGUUGUUCUUACUAGUGAAGCAGAAAGACCUCCCUUCCCAGUGACAUGUUUGGCUGUAGAUUGGAGUUUGUGUAUGUGGUUUUCUUUCCUUUCCGUUAGACUAAGUGCCCCUCCACAUUCUUUAUACUUGCUGGAGGUGCUGAACUGCUCCCCCAAAACGUGCAGCCCUAGUUUCCCUGCAACAGGGAACCAGAGCUGCUCUAGGCCAGAUCGGCACCUUCUAAUAGAAAGCACUGUUCAGCAAUCUCCCCAGGGGCUGCUGAGACAAUCCCCUUGCCGCCAUAUCAGCAUCUUCCUCUGUCCCCUCUCUUCCUGAUCCCUGCAUAUUCCACUAGGAAAAGGUGACCUAGUGUCAACUCCAAAUGACACAGGACAUCACCCACCCCUGAAUUCAAUUCCCAAAGUUUUACUCAGUGACUCAGUCAUUUGGUUGAUGUUAUCUUCUUGCUUGAUUUCCUCUUUUGGAAAAUCCCAGUACUAAAGAAGGUCUCAGAUGUUCUUGUAGAGGAAGAGAUUUCUUUGGUUCAUGAUUAAAGGUAUCCAUCUCUUCAGACUCAGUGCUUAAAAGUUGAAGUCGCAGAGUUUUACAGUGUUCAGGUAAGUCCGUCACCUAAUUGCACCUGCUCAAGAGUUAAAGCUCCUAGGACAUAGUGAGUCGUUAAGCUGUUGGAAUCAUAAGAACUAUUUUCACUCAAUUUAACUGACCUCAAAUAUAGGCUCUUAGCACUUGGAGGAAGGUGGAGAAUUGUAUUGCUGAGGACCCUUUUGGUGGUGACAGAGACUCCAAACUUACAUGACUUAAGCACAGAAGUGGUUGUAAUAGACUUCCCGUAACAGGAAGGUGACCAUGGAGCUGGCCUCAGUGUCAACUCAACCCAGGGAGCAGCAUCAGGCAUCUGUCUUCUUCUGCCCUUCUCUCAUCUUGGCUUCUGCCUCAAGCCUGAUCUCCUGCUCAGCAGCUCUUUCACAUGCUAGGGGACAUGGGGACAGGCAGCUCUGGAGCCACAUCCUUCUGGCUAGAGUUCCCAAGGGAAAAGGUAAAUAUCCCUACCAACUGCUAUAAGGAAAAUCUCAGCAAGGGGCUUGGGUCGGCCCUGCUUGAGUCGGCCCUACUUGGGUCACAUGCUCACUGGCUAACCCUGUGGCCGGGUGUGUGUGUGUGUGUGUGUGUGUGUGUGUAGUGCUCUGAAUGGCUGCCACACCAGAGUUACAGGACAAGUGGUUGUUGGGGGCGCUUGGGGGAGACAGGGGAGUUUUUACACAAGCAAGAGUGCGGGCAGGUGCCAAUAGAAGGCCUGAAACAGCCUUUCCGCAGAGAAGCAAAUAUGGAACUGAGGUUUGCAACGUAUGGGUCUGUGAUAAUUAUCUGGUUCUGUCCUCCAAGUGUGGAGACUGAGGUGCAGAAAGAUCUGCCUGGGGCUAUAAACAGCAGAGAGCACCCCCACACAGGGUCAAGGAUGUUGGCAGUGUUCCGCUGCAGCUUGGGCUUCACUUGCAGCUAAAUGUUUCAUCUCAAAUGCAUACAUAGUAGAUUUUGAGUUUCUGCCAAAAACUCAAGAAGUCACAGGAGCGUAAAGCAGACAUUGUGGUAGAGAGCAUUUAUUGGUCAUUUGUUUUCUCACUUGUAGAGAAAUGGCUAUUAUGUGGCAGCAGAAAUGUUUUAGCUAAUAAAAGCUCAGAGUCUUGAAUUGAAAAACAAAGUAGAAAUAGAGGUGAAUCAUUCAGAAAAAAUCAGCUGGAGUAUUGAAAUGAUGCCGUAAUAAAAGCCCUUUAUUAACGCCAACAUUACCUGAGUAAUUUAGAUUUAUUUCAUAGUUAAUCUUUAUGUGAUAUCAUUGAAAAAUCAAGGGUCUCUAGUAAAUAAUUAAGCUUAAAAGUUGUAUUUUCAGUACAGUUUCUUUUUAACAAGAUUAUUUCUAACCCAUGGACUCUGCAUAACUGGCUUUCAUAUGAUUUAUUUGGUUUUAUCCAAUAAGCUAAAAUGUUGAAUACUUACAGUUUUGAGAGUCUAAGCGUCUUGCAUUUAACAUCAUAAAUUCAGGCUCAUUAUUGGAAUAUUUUGAGCUAGACAGAACUUUAAAUUCUGAAUUUAAAUUCUGGUUCUGCCAGUUAUUAGCUCUUAACCUUGGGCAAUAUUACCAAGUUUUUGUCUAUAAUACGGCCAUAAUGAGCACCCUCUCUUAGGAUCAAUGGAGGACUCAAUGAGAUCAGAUACGAAAAGGCACCUGUUCUGUACUAGGCUUCAAUAAAUGUCCUAGUCAGAAAAAAAGGCUUUAGUUAAGCUUAAAGUUGAGUUAGGAACAGCAAGUCUCUUAAAAAGACAUUAGCCAAAAUUUGAGCUAAUAUAUGAAGAUGGAUCUAAUAUCUUUUUAUGAAGUGAAUAAAUUACAAUCUUAAGAUGUAUGUUGAUACUCUUUAAAAGUGUAUACUGAAUUUGUUCAAAAUAAAUCAGUUGUAUAUAGAGUUAUGAAACAAUAAUAGUGAGAUAAUAUACAACAUCUACAAACACUAAAAAAGUAACAAGUGUAGGCAAAUAGGUACUGUUGUUAUUAUUGAAGAUGAUAAUACUGUUAGAAGGAAGAAGUCAAGAAGAAACAAGGUGAAACAGGGUCAAGUUGUAAACUGUCCUGAUUCCAUAGGCAGAGAAACAGAAGGUGGAGGCACACAUGAUGGGAAAACUUAGAACAGGUAGCCAUCCUAUUUAUAGGCCAGGUUGGUCAGGGCAACUUCCUGAGUCUGUCUUUGCCAAGGUGAUUUUGGUGCUGAUAAACUCUUCCCUGGGCUGCCUGAGGGGCAUCCAGGGCAAAUUCCCAGGUUGACAGAUGGGAACAAGUUUAUAGAGUUCAGAAAAGCCUGGUCUAGGGCGUCAUCCGCUCUAGUGGCUGCUGGAAGCCAGUCACUGCACAUCCCACAGGAUGACACGGCAGUCGUAAAGCUGGAGAUGAUGGCUACUGAUUACUGUCCAGAAGCUUUCUGCACCUGAAGAGUGGACUCAACACACCCUCUAUGGUCCUAAAAAACAGGAACAAAUAGGGGACAAUGAAGACCCCUAUGAAGCCAAAUACUAUAGUAUAAAGAGGAAGGCUUUACAUCCCAGGUCAGAAGGGUGAGAAGGAUGAGAUUUUCUUAAGCACUAACAGGAUAUUGAAUAUGGAAAGACUGUUUUAAGAGUCAUGGGAAUUCUGCUGAGGAAAGGGGGCAGGAGAACAGUGUGGUGAGUAAGGUGCCUUUUCCAGAAAGAAGCAACACCUGCCCUUUCACUUCCUUCGUUUACUUACGCGUCACUUGUAUUUGCUCAUUUGUGGCCAGUGCGCGGAGAUUUCGUAAGAAUGGGGUUGCGCUCGCUUUUUAGUGCCAUGCUACUUGAAGCAGUUAAUAUGUUUAUGGAUAACGUCUCAUUACUGCCUUUUAAGUCACAUUCCAGACCCGAUACAUCACUUCGAUAAUAACACACCUGUCGGCGUGACUCAGAACCCGCACCCUCUCAGGCUGUCACAGGCUGCUCUUCAAACAGCCCCACGGCCUUCUGCCUCUGUGCUGAUAAUCGUUGUGCCAUAAACCACGGUGGUGUCUCCAGCUAUGUGCCCAUCCCCACACCCCACUGGCCCCACUUUCUUCUGGCCUGGCAUGCGGUCAAGCCUCAGAGGCCUCUGCAGCUCCCGGGACUGCCUGGCGGGUGUUCUGCCCUCAAGAUGUUGACCCAACCCGUGGCCCAGGAGCCGGAGAGGGUGAGGGCCCGGUUUGGGUCAAUGCCACCCCCUUGGCUUCCAUGCCUGGUUUAGAAGUUUUAUUACAUGGGAAUGGUGUAGCUCAGGGGGUGGACAAAGGGAUGGUAAAGGAUGCCUCAGGGUCUUGGUGCUGGGAGUCUCCCCACCUUGGCUGGAAUCCAGCCCUGCAGGGUAAUGGCUGGAUGUUAGCAGUUGCAGGAGGCCAUGUGAUGGAGACCUGAAAUGAAACCAGAGGCUCCAUCCUGGUGAGCAAGCAUGGUCCUGUGUCUAAGAAGGCUCUCACACAUGACAGGUACAGCAGAGAAGCCAGAAAUAAGAUUGCUUUGGAGGCGUUCCUGUUGUGGUUCAGUGGAAACAAAUCUGACUAGUAUCCAUGAGGACACGGGUUCGAUCCUUGGCCUCACUCAGUGGGUUAAAGAUCUGGCAUUGCCAUGAGCUAUGGUGUAGGUCACAGAUGUAGCUCAGAUCUGGUGUUGCUGUGGCUUGGUGUAGGCUAGAGGCUACAGCUCUGAUUGGACCCCUAGCCUGGGAACCUCCAUAUGCUGCAGAUGUGGCCCUGAAAAAAAAAAAAAGAUUGCUUUGGAAACCAUAGAUCCUUUUUCCCAGAGUAGAGGCCACAUUAUGGGAGGGACAUGUUAGGAGUAAGAAAUAAAUGAAUAAAUUUAGUGAAAGUUUAAAUGUAUUCAUUAAUAAAGCUAAAUCUCAUAAGUCAAUUUGAUAAGUGAAUUUGAAUCAGUGUUGUUGGAAUCUAAAUCUCCUGGUGAUAUGACUAGUUUCAAAGUACUACUUUUGUAUUAUCCCCAAAACUUGAUAAAUCUCUAAUUUGUUGUGUAAAAUCAUAGGAGGUUCUGACACACCUGGCCAGGACACCCAGGUAUGUGUGUCUGUUCUGCGAGGCUUUCUAUAACCAUGCCCAUUGUACCAGUCACGUCUACUUCUGAUUUACUUUUAUGAAAGACAGACUAUCUGAUCCAUUAUGUGUUAUUUUUAGGCAUCUUCUAAUAAUAACAGCCUAAAAAUAUAUAUCUGUGUAUUUCUUAAAGUUUUAAGUUGGUUGUAAUAUUGAUAUUAUUAUUGUUUUACUGUUUAUCAUCAUACAUUAGCCAUUUCACUGCUAGUUUUCACAGCCUUGUUUGGUUUGUGAGAACUAGUCUUUUUUUUUGAAGGUGCCUGCAGCAUGCAAAAGUUCCCACACCAAGGAUCAAACCCAUGCCACAACAGUUUACAACACUGGAUUCUUAACUCACUGUGCCACAAGGGAACCUCCUGCAAGAACAACUCUUAUUCAAGAGUAACUAAAGUAUAGAAAAACGUUGAACAAUAUGUUCUAAAUAUCAACAGUAGUUAUCUCUAAGCUGACGAUUACAAGUGACUUUUAUUUUCCUCUGUCCUCUUUUUCGUAUGUUCCAAAUAGUUCCAUAAUAAAAUAUUUAUAUUUGUUCAGUGCUUUCUCUACAUCAGGUUCUAUGCAAAGUCUUUUAUGAUUAUCAUUACAUAAUAUCUUCACAACAACUCUGUAAGUGAGGUCCUAUUAUAAUCCUCACUUUACACAUGAAGAAGCUAAAGAGUUUAAAUAAAUUUGAUCAAGAUCUCAUAAAUGGUAGGGCCAGAAUUCAAACCCAUGUAUAUCUGAUUCUAGAACUUAGGUUAUUAACCACUGUAUUAAACUUCAUUUCUUUUGUAAUCAGAAACACACAACACAAUUUUUUGUUGUUGUUUUUUGUUGGUUGUUGUUGUUGUUGUCUUUUUAGGGCUGCACCCACAGGAUAUGGAGGUUCCCAGGCUGGGGGUCUAAUCAGAGCUGUAGUCACUGACCUACACCACAGCUCACAGCAACACUGGAUCCUUAACCCACUGAGCGAGGCCAGGUUUGCUGUGUCCUCAUGGAUACUAGCCAGAUUCAUUUCCACUCAGCCAUGACAGGAACUCCCACAACACAAUAUUUAAUUCUAAAAAUAAAUAAUAAACACCAGUACUGCAUUUAGCAUAUAACUUUCAUGAAAAAAUAUUAAAUGUACACCCAAAUUUCCAGGCACAUCUACUAAGGUUACAAUCUGAGAGCUGAAUGAGAAAAAACUUAGGAUUUACUUGAAUUGAGGCUCACCAUUUUUAAUCCACUUAAAAGUGUUAUUUCCUCAUGACAUCGGCUUCUGUGAAGUUUAGAAAUACAUGAGAAAAAGAGAGUUGGGAAAUAGACAUAGAAAUUAUUCAAAUAAUGAAAAAUAAAUCUUUAAACAAUGACAAUGGAAUUUGGGUUGUUUCUGAUUUUUGUGGUUUGUCUUGUUUUCUGCCUGAAGAAGACAAGGUUGCAGGAAAAUGAAACCACGAUUUUGAAAUAAAGGAAGAACUCUGGUGGAGUUAGUGGGAGCAGCUGUUCUCCAGUCUCAAACCGUAUCUGGACUGUUAGGUUCAGUUCUAGGUACCUCAUGUUAAGAGAGACCUUGAUGAAGUGGAGUGUGUCAGAUAGGGAUGAGCGUGUUCAGAUGUACCUAGAUACGACCACAUGUGAGUUACAGUUGCCAGAACUCUGGUGGUCCAGGGGAAAGACUUAGGGAAACAAAGAUCUGGGUUCAAAGCUAUGAAGUUAGUUCUGUCAUGUCAAAGAGGGAUUAGGCUUGUUCUGUAUCACACCAGAGGGCAAGACUAAGACCUUGAGGUCAGGCAUCAGUUCAAUAUAAAAAGAAAUUCAGAACCAGAGUUCCCGUCGUGGCUCAGUGGUUAAUGAAUCCAACUAGGAACCAUGAGGUUGCAGGUUCUAUCCCUGACCUUGCUUGGUGGAUUAAGGAUCCAGCAUUGCCGUGAACUGUGGUGUAGGUUGCCAACAUGGCCUGGAUCUGGCAUCUGUGGCUGUGGUGUAGGCUGGCAGCUACAGCUCCAAUUAGACCCCUAGCCUAGGAACCUCCAUGUGCCACAGGUGCGGNAAAAAAAAAAAAAAAAAAAAAAAAAAAAAAAAAAG
This 6905-nucleotide long non-coding RNA is filed under the name Sus scrofa (pig). RNAcentral's name for it is "lncRNA (ENSSSCG00040074558.1)". Lineage: Eukaryota; Metazoa; Chordata; Mammalia; Artiodactyla; Suidae. The record is from RNAcentral.